CAGUUUUAUGACAAGUUUAACAUCCGUCACAAUAUUGCCGAACUUCUUGAAUACCUAUGGCAGGUUCCCAGUCACCGCAACGCAUGGAGACAGAUUGCUAAAGAGGAGGAGAAGGGCGUAUAUUUGAAUUUCUUAAACUUUCUGAUAAAUGAUAGCAUUUAUCUACUUGAUGAAAGUUUGAACAAAAUACUUGAACUCAAGGAACUGGAAGCUGAAAUGUCAAAUACAGUGGAAUGGGAGCGAAGACCAGCUCAAGAAAGGCAGGAGAGAACUCGAUUGUUCCAUUCUCAAGAGAAUAUCAUCCGGAUUGAUAUGAAGUUGGCAAAU
Long non-coding RNA from Daucus carota subsp. sativus, 327 nucleotides. RefSeq lists it as uncharacterized. The record is from RefSeq and is a predicted model, not a curated record. The transcript is spliced from 3 exons. Lineage: Eukaryota; Viridiplantae; Streptophyta; Magnoliopsida; Apiales; Apiaceae.